Molecule: microRNA precursor, 84 nt
Filed under: Bombyx mori (domestic silkworm)
Lineage: Eukaryota; Metazoa; Arthropoda; Insecta; Lepidoptera; Bombycidae
Description: mir-2807 microRNA precursor family
Rfam family: mir-2807 microRNA precursor family
Source: Rfam by way of RNAcentral
CUUCUCGUUAUGUAUAUGGAGUUGGAACGUAUGCCUACGUUAGCUGCAAGGUGCACUGUUCCAACUGCAUACAAAUUUGAGUUA